RNAcentral lists this transfer RNA (70 nucleotides) under Plecoglossus altivelis (ayu). RNAcentral's name for it is "tRNA-His". It matches the Rfam family "tRNA". Rfam says of the family: Transfer RNA (tRNA) molecules are approximately 80 nucleotides in length. Their secondary structure includes four short double-helical elements and three loops (D, anti-codon, and T loops). The record is from RNAcentral. Lineage: Eukaryota; Metazoa; Chordata; Actinopteri; Osmeriformes; Plecoglossidae.
GUAAAUAUAGUUUAAGAAAAACACUAGAUUGUGAUUCUAGGAAUAGGGGUUAGAGUCCCCUUAUUCACCG